Long non-coding RNA from Ostrinia nubilalis (European corn borer), 663 nucleotides. RefSeq lists it as uncharacterized. The record is from RefSeq and is a predicted model, not a curated record. Lineage: Eukaryota; Metazoa; Arthropoda; Insecta; Lepidoptera; Crambidae. The transcript has 3 exons.
CGCGAGUCGGCUUCAACCUCAAGCCGCGCUCGCCGGGGCCCGCUGUCUACUUCCAGCGGGACGCCAACGUCUACAUGACGAGGAGCCCGAACUACUCGCUGGGCGCAAAACUGGACGGCGCGGGCAAGGCCACGAAGACGCCCGGGCCCGCGGCCUACCCGCCCAACCUCUAUAACGUCAAGAAGAACCCGUACUCAUACUCGUUCGGCACGAAACACGGCGACUACGCGCCGCCCAUGAUCGUCAAAGAAGACACCAUGGACUGUCUUUGAAAACUGGUGCGUCACUAAACGGAAGCUGUGACGUCACAAACACGCAAACGCGAGUGGCCCCAGAACGGUGUGCCAUCCACUUAAACUUGAUUGAUUGCUUUCGAGACACUUUGUUACAUGGAAUUUGUAAUCAUUUAAGAAAGUAACAAAAGAUGCAAUAUUCAAGUAUUUAUAAAUGUUUUGUAGCAUUUGGACUUUGAUGCUUGUUUGUAAUGUGCUAGUAAAAUGUUUACAAAAACAUUGUAUAAGUGAAGAAACAGUGAUGUUGAAGAAAUUGUAUGAAUUGGAACAUUUCAAAUGAUUUUUGAAAAGUUUUUGUAUUGUUACUGGUCUUUUUGGAGUCCAAAUUGAAUUUUUACUAUUUGAAUUAAAGAUUGUUAUUGUUUUAUAA